RNAcentral lists this ribosomal RNA (408 nucleotides) under uncultured eukaryote. RNAcentral describes it as "SSU rRNA". It matches the Rfam family "Eukaryotic small subunit ribosomal RNA", at positions 570 to 990 of the family's 1831-position model. The record is from RNAcentral.
GCACCCGCGGUAAUUCCAGCUCCAAUAGCGUAUAUUAAAGUUGUUGCAGUUAAAAAGCUCGUAGUUGGAUUUCUGGGAGGGUGCCGAUGUCCACUUAACGUGUGCGCAGCGGCGCCCUCUCAUCCUUCUGUUAGCGUCUCUUGGCAUUCAUUUGCUGGUGGCGGGCUCAGAUAUUUUACCUUGAGAAAAUUAGAGUGUUUCAGGCAGGCUAGGCCGAAAUACAUUAGCAUGGAAUAAUGGAAUAGGACUACGGUCUCUUUGUUGGUUUGAGGGACUGCAGUAAUGAUUAAUAGGGAUAGUUGGGGGCAUUAGUACUUAACUGUCAGAGGUGGAAUUCUCAGAUUUGUUAAAGACUGACUUAUGCGAAAGCAUUUGCCAAGGAUGUUUUCAUUGAUCAAGAACGAAAGU